RNAcentral lists this small RNA (540 nucleotides) under Pan troglodytes (chimpanzee). RNAcentral describes it as "processed transcript". Lineage: Eukaryota; Metazoa; Chordata; Mammalia; Primates; Hominidae. The record is from RNAcentral.
UCAGCGCCCGCGGCGAGGACCCCGGGGCUGGGGCGGACGGCGUGCCCCUGAGGGGGCUCCCCGCGGGAGCGCGGAGCCGGCGACUGGUGCUUCCCACGUGCGCCGGUGUCGCGAGGGCCCGGGAGGACGCACAGCACGGCCGGGAGAAGCAUGGGAAGGAGGCCGAGCCGGGAUCUCAGGUCCUCGGGGGCGGCGGCCACGCCAAGGACGGUACAAAACUUUUUACCAACAAAAAAAAGCAAGUAGCUAUACUCAGGAAGAACUUCAAGACACUUACGGGUUUCUUCUGUUUGAUACUGAAAAGCAGGCAAAAUUGGUAUGUCAGCGUGGACUCCGUGUUGGCAGCAGUGCUGUUACCACUCUGGGUGAUCCAGCCAAAGGUGUAUACAUUUCCAAAUACUCCGACUAUCUUCAUCCAAGACCAUGGUAUCAUGGGAAAUCUGGUUAUGUUGUAAUUUUUAAUAUAAUUAAGUAUUACUUUUACGAACUUUCAGGCAACACCGUUAUUGAACGACCCAGACAGAUCUGUCCUUAUGUAAU